This 207-nucleotide ribosomal RNA is filed under the name uncultured bacterium. RNAcentral describes it as "partial 16S ribosomal RNA". It matches the Rfam family "Bacterial small subunit ribosomal RNA", at positions 568 to 774 of the family's 1533-position model. The record is from RNAcentral.
UGCGUAGGCGGGCAGGUAAGUCAGUGGUGAAAUCCUGGAGCUCAACUCCAGAACUGCCAUUGAUACUAUCUGUCUUGAAUAUUGUGGAGGUAAGCGGAAUAUGUCAUGUAGCGGUGAAAUGCUUAGAUAUGACAUAGAACACCCAUUGCGAAGGCAGCUUACUACGCAUAUAUUGACGCUGAGGCACGAAAGCGUGGGGAUCAAACA